RNAcentral lists this long non-coding RNA (664 nucleotides) under Helianthus annuus (common sunflower). RNAcentral describes it as "hypothetical non coding rna". Lineage: Eukaryota; Viridiplantae; Streptophyta; Magnoliopsida; Asterales; Asteraceae. The record is from RNAcentral.
GCCGCCCAAACACAGCCGCAUAUAACCUGUUCGGUUUCGACACCAUUACACACCAUCUCGACAUCCUCACAACCUCACAAUACCCUUUCACAUAACCGUUGCACUUCACCGGAGAAACCCGAACGCCGCCGGAACAACACCACGAACGCUAUCGGAGUUUGAGAUUUCACCGGAAAAACUCGAAGAGCCGAAGGUUUCCACAACUCGUCGGAGUUCCUUUGAUCCGUCGAGGAAUAACGAACCUUGCCGGAGGUGCUUAAACGCUGUUCGAGGAGCCUACACGUGUGGGAGUUGCAGCGGAUUCACCGGAGACCUACCGGAGAACUCAAAGACGGCACUGGAGCUCGGAGACGACAUCGCAACGAGAACCAUCCACGGCUUCGGAAACCGACAUGAGAGUCUUAUGUUGUCCGAUUCUUUAAAAAUUUUUGGUAAUCGCUCUCGUUCGUUCCCUUGGAAUUCUCCAUCUUUACUCGUGCGAUAUUUCAAGGAAUUCUUAAACGCAAUCAAUGUUUAGCGAUGAUGUUGGUGAUGCAUGGAAUCUAGUAGGAUGCUUAAAUACACACUUUAAUUUGUAUUCACAUUGUAUUGUAUUUCAUUAUUCAUGAUGUUGUAUUUACUUCAAAUUCUUGUAAUUGAUUCUUUAGAAAUGAAAUGAAAUUUA